This is a long non-coding RNA of Bradysia coprophila, 484 nucleotides long. RefSeq lists it as uncharacterized. The record is from RefSeq and is a predicted model, not a curated record. Lineage: Eukaryota; Metazoa; Arthropoda; Insecta; Diptera; Sciaridae.
UUACCACUGCAACAAACAAACAUUCAUUCAGUUGCAGGAGAACUCUUGAAACGUUCGGAAGAAAUUGCAAUUUUAUCGGUCAGAGCAAAGAUGAAUAAAACGUUACUCAUCGCCUUUGUGCUGGUUGCCAUUUCAUGGCAAUUAGUUUCAGCUGCAGUAGAAUCAAAAACCUUCAUUAUUGCCCCACAACAAGAAAAUUGUAGAGGACCUUUUCCAAGAAAAUGUCUUCGGAUUAAAUACGAUCCUGCCGAAGAUUGGAACUUCUUCUACGGCUAUAUUGAUGGCUUCAACUAUGAACCCGGCUAUGAAUAUGUUCUGAAAGUAGACGCUGAAGACGUACCCAACCCGCCCAUUGAUGGAAGUAGUGUAAAAUACACUUUAAAGGAACAAGUUUCUAAAACAAAAGCUUAGAGACAUCAAAUUAACUGUUUAUAUUUGCCGUUGUGACUAAUGAUUUCAAUAAAUAAUCGACAUCUAAUAAAAA